GAGUCUGAUCGUGGCUCAGAGUGAGCGCUGGCGGUAGGCCUAACACAUGCAAGUCGAACGGCAGCACAGCAGUAGCAAUACUGUGGGUGGCGAGUGGCGGACGGGUGAGGAAUACAUCGGAAUCUACUCUGUCGUGGGGGAUAACGUAGGGAAACUUACGCUAAUACCGCAUACGACCUACGGGUGAAAGUGGGGGACCGCAAGGCCUCACGCGAUUGAAUGAGCCGAUGUCGGAUUAGCUAGUUGGCGGGGUAAAGGCCCCACCAAGGCGACGAUCCGUAGCUGGUCUGAGAGGAUGAUCAGCCACACUGGAACUGAGACACGGUCCAGACUCCUACGGGAGGCAGCAGUGGGGAAUAUUGGACAAUGGGCGCAAGCCUGAUCCAGCCAUACCGCGUGGGUGAAGAAGGCC
This 412-nucleotide ribosomal RNA is filed under the name uncultured Gammaproteobacteria bacterium. RNAcentral's name for it is "bacterial SSU rRNA". It matches the Rfam family "Bacterial small subunit ribosomal RNA", at positions 9 to 416 of the family's 1533-position model. Lineage: Bacteria; Pseudomonadati; Pseudomonadota; Gammaproteobacteria. The record is from RNAcentral.